Molecule: ribosomal RNA, 459 nt
Filed under: Drymeia hamata
Lineage: Eukaryota; Metazoa; Arthropoda; Insecta; Diptera; Muscidae
Description: partial 16S ribosomal RNA
Source: RNAcentral
UUUAAAUGGCCGCAGUAUAUUAACUGUGCAAAGGUAGCAUAAUCAUUAGUCUUUUAAUUGGAGGCUGGUAUGAAUGGUUGGACGAGAUAUUAACUGUUUCAUAAAAAUUUAUAUUAGAAUUUUAUUUUUUAGUCAAAAAGCUAAAAUAAAUUUAAAAGACGAGAAGACCCUAUAAAUCUUUAUAUUUAAAUUAUUAUAAUUUUUUAGUUUUAUUUUAUUAUAAUUAUUAAUAAUAUUUUAUUGGGGUGAUAUUAAAAUUUAAUAAACUUUUAAUUAUUUUAAUCAUUAAUUUAUGAAUAAAUGAUCCGUUAUUAUAACGAUUAAAAAUUUAAGUUACUUUAGGGAUAACAGCGUAAUUUUUUUGGAGAGUUCAUAUUAAUAAAAAAGAUUGCGACCUCGAUGUUGGAUUAAGAUAAAAUUUUAGGUGCAGUCGCUUAAAUUUAAAGUCUGUUCGACUUU